AGAGUUUGAUCCUGGCUCAGAUUGAACGCUGGCGGCAGGCCUAACACAUGCAAGUCGAGCGGAAACGAGUUAUCUGAACCUUCGGGGAACGAUAACGGCGUCGAGCGGCGGACGGGUGAGUAAUGCCUAGGAAAUUGCCCUGAUGUGGGGGAUAACCAUUGGAAACGAUGGCUAAUACCGCAUAAUGCCUACGGGCCAAAGAGGGGGACCUUCGGGCCUCUCGCGUCAGGAUAUGCCUAGGUGGGAUUAGCUAGUUGGUGAGGUAAUGGCUCACCAAGGCGACGAUCCCUAGCUGGUCUGAGAGGAUGAUCAGCCACACUGGAACUGAGACACGGUCCAGACUCCUACGGGAGGCAGCAGUGGGGAAUAUUGCACAAUGGGCGCAAGCCUGAUGCAGCCAUGCCGCGUGUGUGAAGAAGGCCUUCGGGUUGUAAAGCACUUUCAGUCGUGAGGAAGGUAGUGUAGUUAAUAGCUGCAUUAUUUGACGUUAGCGACAGAAGAAGCACCGGCUAACUCCGUGCCAGCAGCCGCGGUAAU
This 537-nucleotide ribosomal RNA is filed under the name uncultured bacterium. RNAcentral's name for it is "bacterial SSU rRNA". It matches the Rfam family "Bacterial small subunit ribosomal RNA", at positions 8 to 524 of the family's 1533-position model. The record is from RNAcentral.